AAUGAACGCUGGCGGCAUGCCUUACACAUGCAAGUCGAACGGCAGCAUGACCUUGCUUGCUCGGUUGAUGGCGAGUGGCGAACGGGUGAGUAAUGCAUCGGAACGUGCCUUUUAGUGGGGGAUAACGUAGCGAAAGUUACCCUAAUACCGCAUAUUCUCUGAGGAGGAAAGCAGGGGACCUUCGGGCCUUGCGCUAGAAGAGCGGCCGAUGUCGGAUUAGCUAGUUGGUGAGGUAAAGGCUCACCAAGGCAACGAUCCGUAGCGGGUCUGAGAGGAUGAUCCGCCACACUGGGACUGAGACACGGCCCAGACUCCUACGGGAGGCAGCAGUGGGGAAUUUUGGAAGCUGGGCGCAAGCCUGAUCCAGCCAUGCCGCGUGAGUGAAGAAGGCCUUCGGGUUGUAAAGCUCUUUCGGCGGGGAAGAAAUCGCACCCUAUAAGACAGGGUGUGGAUGACGGUACCAGCAUAAGAAGCACCGGCUAACUACGUG
This 490-nucleotide ribosomal RNA is filed under the name uncultured bacterium. Its description in RNAcentral is "partial 16S ribosomal RNA". It matches the Rfam family "Bacterial small subunit ribosomal RNA", at positions 29 to 507 of the family's 1533-position model. The record is from RNAcentral.